GAGGGUAUAGCUCAGUAGUAGAGUGCAUGCCUAGCCAGCAUGAGGUCCUGGUUUCAAUCUCCAGCACCUCCA
Molecule: transfer RNA, 72 nt
Filed under: Camelus bactrianus (Bactrian camel)
Lineage: Eukaryota; Metazoa; Chordata; Mammalia; Artiodactyla; Camelidae
Also listed under: 2 other names
Rfam family: tRNA
About the family: Transfer RNA (tRNA) molecules are approximately 80 nucleotides in length.
Source: Rfam by way of RNAcentral